ACAGGAUCUCACUCAGUCACUAAGUUGCCCAGGCCAGCCUUGAAGUUAUGACUCUUGUGCCUCAUCCUCUGGAGCAGCUGGGAUUAUAGGCUUGAGGCCCUGCUUCCUUUGGCUGCUGCUGAUGUACCCCGUGCACGUAUUCUCACCGGCUCACUCACGUCGGCACGCCAUUCACUCAGGCCAGGGGCAGACGACAAAAGUCUCUGGGCACUGGCAGCUGAAUAGAAUUUCCAAAGGGACUAAUUUAUCGAUGACACCUGUCAAAGCAUUCCAGAUGUGGAACUGGGAUUGAAUGCAGGGCCUUUGCACUGAGCUGCAUCUCCAGCCUCUUUUUUCUUUUGAGGCAGGAUCUUACUAAGUCACAAAGUUGCCCGGGGUGGGCUCAAGUUUGCAAUCCUCCCGGCUCAUCCUCCUAGAGACUGGGCUUUUUAAAGUGGGCUUUGGAGGGGCCUGAGACAGUUCCUGUUUUAAGGCAGCAGCUGUUUGUAGCCAUUGAGGUUGAGAUCAGGAGGCUGAGGGCCUUGGAGCGAUGCCUGGGGGUGCAGUCUGCUUGCAGAUGAGGCUGGAGUCCAAUCCUCCGUGGGGAAGGCUGCAGAGUGGAAGUCUGCGUUCAGGACCUGGGCACAUUUCCAGGGAAACUCCAGGGUGUGCCAGGUUAUGGGAGUUCACAUUAAUUACCUUCUCCCGACUGUUACAGCAAAGAGCAAUUGUGGAGUGUGACAUAAAUGCAUCAAAAAGAAAGCCAGACUGGGUGGCAGUGCCUGUUGUCUCAGCUACCUGGGAGGCUGAGGCAGGAGAAUCACUUGAGCCCUGAGUUCAAAGCCAGCUGAGGCAACACAGCAAGACCCCAUCUCAGAAUAAAAGAAAGCACACUGAGAAAUAGAGGACAAGCUCCCAACAUUCUGGCCUUCCUCAUCACCUGUGAACAUCUCGAGGCACCCAGCGGGCAGGCUCCAUAUUUGCAGAGGGGGCUGGGCUCACUGGCUGCUGGUUUUGUAGACUCGGCAGCAAGCACUGAUGGUCUCAACAUCUUCACCCAUGGGUGGUGCUGGGGUGGAACCCAUGCUCGGAUUGCUAGGCCGACACUCAGGGCUGAGCCAUACCUUUCAUUUAUUUGUUCUUCACACUGAAUAUCAGAUCUUUUCUGGUCCUGA
Molecule: non-coding RNA, 1154 nt
Organism: Heterocephalus glaber (naked mole-rat)
Lineage: Eukaryota; Metazoa; Chordata; Mammalia; Rodentia; Bathyergidae
Source: RefSeq, a predicted model, not a curated record